Molecule: ribosomal RNA, 691 nt
Filed under: Mucor ctenidius
Lineage: Eukaryota; Fungi; Mucoromycota; Mucoromycetes; Mucorales; Mucoraceae
Description: eukaryotic LSU rRNA
Rfam family: Eukaryotic large subunit ribosomal RNA
Source: RNAcentral
GCGGAGGAAAAGAAAAUAACAAUGAUUUCCCUAGUAACGGCGAGUGAAGAGGAAAGAGCUCAAAGUUGGAAACUGUUUGGCUUAGCUAAACCGUAUUGUAAACUGUAGAAACAUUUUCCUGGCACACCAGAUUAAUAAGUCCUUUGGAACAAGGCAUCAUGGAGGGUGAGAAUCCCGUCUUUGAUCUGAGUAGUUGUCUUUUGUGAUAUGUUUUCAAAGAGUCAGGUUGUUUGGGAAUGCAGCCUAAAUUGGGUGGUAAAUCUCACCUAAAGCUAAAUAUCUGCGAGAGACCGAUAGCGAACAAGUACCGUGAGGGAAAGAUGAAAAGAACUUUGAAAAGAGAGUUAAACAGUAUGUGAAAUUGUUAAAAGGGAACCGUUUGGAGCCAGACUGGUUUGACUGUAAUCAACCUAGAAUUCGUUUUGGGUGCACUUGCAGUCUAUACCUGCCAACAACAGUUUGAUUUGGAGGAAAAAAUUAGUAGGAAUGUGGCCUUUCGAGGUGUUAUAGCCUAUUAUCAUACUCUGGAUUGGACUGAGGAACGCAGCGAAUGCCUUUAGGCGAGAUUGCUGGGUGCUUUCGCUAAUAAAUGUUAGAAUUUCUGCUUCGGGUGGUGCUAAUGUUUAAAGGAGGAACACAUCUAGUAUAUUUUUUAUUCGCUUAGGUUGUUGGCUUAAUGACUCUAAAUGAC